This 505-nucleotide ribosomal RNA is filed under the name uncultured bacterium. RNAcentral describes it as "partial 16S ribosomal RNA". It matches the Rfam family "Bacterial small subunit ribosomal RNA", at positions 28 to 507 of the family's 1533-position model. The record is from RNAcentral.
GACGAACGCUGGCGGCGUGCCUAAUACAUGCAAGUAGAAUGCACAGUUUAUACCGUAGCUUGCUACACCAUAGACUGUGAGUUGCGAACGGGUGAGUAACGCGUAGGUAACCUGCCUGGUAGCGGGGGAUAACUAUUGGAAACGAUAGCUAAUACCGCAUAAUAUUAAUUAUUGCAUGAUAAUUAAUUGAAAGGUGCAAUUGCACCACUACCAGAUGGACCUGCGUUGUAUUAGCUAGUAGGUGAGGUAACGGCUCACCUAGGCGACGAUACAUAGCCGACCUGAGAGGGUGAUCGGCCACACUGGGACUGAGACACGGCCCAGACUCCUACGGGAGGCAGCAGUAGGGAAUCUUCGGCAAUGGACGAAAGUCUGACCGAGCAACGCCGCGUGAGUGAAGAAGGUUUUCGGAUCGUAAAGCUCUGUUGUAAGAGAAGAACGGGUGUGAGAGUGGAAAGUUCACACUGUGACGGUAUCUUACCAGAAAGGGACGGCUAACUACGUG